Molecule: ribosomal RNA, 2320 nt
Filed under: Leclercia sp. LK8
Lineage: Bacteria; Pseudomonadati; Pseudomonadota; Gammaproteobacteria; Enterobacterales; Enterobacteriaceae
Description: bacterial LSU rRNA
Rfam family: Bacterial large subunit ribosomal RNA
Source: RNAcentral
CGAAAAGAACCCCGGCGAGGGGAGUGAAAAAGAACCUGAAACCGUGUACGUACAAGCAGUGGGAGCACCCUCGUGGUGUGACUGCGUACCUUUUGUAUAAUGGGUCAGCGACUUAUAUUCUGUAGCAAGGUUAACCGUAUAGGGGAGCCGAAGGGAAACCGAGUCUUAACUGGGCGUUAAGUUGCAGGGUAUAGACCCGAAACCCGGUGAUCUAGCCAUGGGCAGGUUGAAGGUUGGGUAACACUAACUGGAGGACCGAACCGACUAAUGUUGAAAAAUUAGCGGAUGACUUGUGGCUGGGGGUGAAAGGCCAAUCAAACCGGGAGAUAGCUGGUUCUCCCCGAAAGCUAUUUAGGUAGCGCCUCGUGAAUUCAUCUUCGGGGGUAGAGCACUGUUUCGGCUAGGGGGCCAUCCCGGCUUACCAACCCGAUGCAAACUACGAAUACCGAAGAAUGUUAUCACGGGAGACACACGGCGGGUGCUAACGUCCGUCGUGAAGAGGGAAACAACCCAGACCGCCAGCUAAGGUCCCAAAGUCAUGGUUAAGUGGGAAACGAUGUGGGAAGGCACAGACAGCCAGGAUGUUGGCUUAGAAGCAGCCAUCAUUUAAAGAAAGCGUAAUAGCUCACUGGUCGAGUCGGCCUGCGCGGAAGAUGUAACGGGGCUAAACCAUGCACCGAAGCUGCGGCAGCGACGCUUAUGCGUUGUUGGGUAGGGGAGCGUUCUGUAAGCCGUUGAAGGUGUGCUGUGAGGCAUGCUGGAGGUAUCAGAAGUGCGAAUGCUGACAUAAGUAACGAUAAAGCGGGUGAAAAGCCCGCUCGCCGGAAGACCAAGGGUUCCUGUCCAACGUUAAUCGGGGCAGGGUGAGUCGACCCCUAAGGCGAGGCCGAAAGGCGUAGUCGAUGGGAAACAGGUUAAUAUUCCUGUACUUGGUGUUACUGCGAAGGGGGGACGGAGAAGGCUAUGUUAGCCGGGCGACGGUUGUCCCGGUUUAAGCAUGUAGGCGGAGGUUCCAGGUAAAUCCGGUACCUUUUAACGCUGAGGUGUGAUGACGAGGCACUACGGUGCUGAAGUAACAAAUGCCCUGCUUCCAGGAAAAGCCUCUAAGCAUCAGGUAACAUCAAAUCGUACCCCAAACCGACACAGGUGGUCAGGUAGAGAAUACCAAGGCGCUUGAGAGAACUCGGGUGAAGGAACUAGGCAAAAUGGUGCCGUAACUUCGGGAGAAGGCACGCUGAUAUGUAGGUGAAGCCCCUGCGGGUGGAGCUGAAAUCAGUCGAAGAUACCAGCUGGCUGCAACUGUUUAUUAAAAACACAGCACUGUGCAAACACGAAAGUGGACGUAUACGGUGUGACGCCUGCCCGGUGCCGGAAGGUUAAUUGAUGGGGUUAGCGGCAACGCGAAGCUCUUGAUCGAAGCCCCGGUAAACGGCGGCCGUAACUAUAACGGUCCUAAGGUAGCGAAAUUCCUUGUCGGGUAAGUUCCGACCUGCACGAAUGGCGUAAUGAUGGCCAGGCUGUCUCCACCCGAGACUCAGUGAAAUUGAACUCGCUGUGAAGAUGCAGUGUACCCGCGGCAAGACGGAAAGACCCCGUGAACCUUUACUAUAGCUUGACACUGAACACUGGUCCUUGAUGUGUAGGAUAGGUGGGAGGCUUUGAAGUGUGGACGCCAGUCUGCAUGGAGCCGUCCUUGAAAUACCACCCUUUAAUGGCUGGUGUUCUAACGUAGACCCGUGAUCCGGGUUGCGGACAGUGUCUGGUGGGUAGUUUGACUGGGGCGGUCUCCUCCCAAAGAGUAACGGAGGAGCACGAAGGUUAGCUAAUCCUGGUCGGACAUCAGGAGGUUAGUGCAAUGGCAUAAGCUAGCUUGACUGCGAGAGUGACGGCUCGAGCAGGUGCGAAAGCAGGUCAUAGUGAUCCGGUGGUUCUGAAUGGAAGGGCCAUCGCUCAACGGAUAAAAGGUACUCCGGGGAUAACAGGCUGAUACCGCCCAAGAGUUCAUAUCGACGGCGGUGUUUGGCACCUCGAUGUCGGCUCAUCACAUCCUGGGGCUGAAGUAGGUCCCAAGGGUAUGGCUGUUCGCCAUUUAAAGUGGUACGCGAGCUGGGUUUAGAACGUCGUGAGACAGUUCGGUCCCUAUCUGCCGUGGGCGCUGGAGAAUUGAGGGGGGCUGCUCCUAGUACGAGAGGACCGGAGUGGACGCAUCACUGGUGUUCGGGUUGUCAUGCCAAUGGCACUGCCCGGUAGCUAAAUGCGGAAAAGAUAAGUGCUGAAAGCAUCUAAGCACGAAACUUGCCCCGAGAUGAGUUCUCCCUGA